AUCCUGGCUCAGAUUGAACGCUGGCGGAAUGCUUUACACAUGCAAGUCGAACGGUAGAGGGGGCAACCCCUUGAGAGUGGCGAACGGGUGAGUAAUAUAUCGGAACGUGCCCAGUCGUGGGGGAUAACGUAGCGAAAGCUACGCUAAUACCGCAUACGAUCUAUGGAUGAAAGCGGGGGAUCGCAAGACCUCGCGCGAUUGGAGCGGCCGAUAUCAGAUUAGGUAGUUGGUGAGGUAAAGGCUCACCAAGCCGACGAUCUGUAGCUGGUCUGAGAGGACGACCAGCCACACUGGGACUGAGACACGGCCCAGACUCCUACGGGAGGCAGCAGUGGGGAAUUUUGGACAAUGGGCGCAAGCCUGAUCCAGCAAUGCCGCGUGCAGGAUGAAGGCCUUCGGGUUGUAAACUGCUUUUGUACGGAACGAAACGGUGAGCUCUAAUACAGUUUGCUAAUGACGGUACCGUAAGAAUAAGCACCGGCUAACUACGUG
Molecule: ribosomal RNA, 492 nt
Filed under: uncultured bacterium
Lineage: Bacteria
Description: bacterial SSU rRNA
Rfam family: Bacterial small subunit ribosomal RNA
Source: RNAcentral